RNAcentral lists this ribosomal RNA (374 nucleotides) under uncultured organism. RNAcentral describes it as "bacterial SSU rRNA". It matches the Rfam family "Archaeal small subunit ribosomal RNA", at positions 476 to 851 of the family's 1478-position model. The record is from RNAcentral.
CCAGCACCCCGAGUGGUCGGGACGAUUAUUGGGCCUAAAGCAUCCGUAGCCGGUUUUACAAGUCCUCCGUUAAAUCCAGCUGCUUAACGGAUGGGCUGCGGAGGAUACUAUAAGACUAGGAGGCAGGAGAGGCAAGCGGUACUCAGUGGGUAGGGUAAAAUCCGUUGAUCCAUUGAAGACCACCAGUGGCGAAGGCGGCUUGCCAGAAUGCGCUCGACGGUGAGGGAUGAAAGCUGGGGGAGCAAACCGGAUUAGAUACCCGGGUAGUCCCAGCUGUAAACGAUGCAGACUCGGUGAUGGACUAGCUUUAUGCUAGUCCAGUGCCGCAGGGAAGCCGUUAAAGUCUGCCGCCUGGGUAUACGGUCGCAAGACUG